Molecule: transfer RNA, 73 nt
Filed under: Stegodyphus mimosarum
Lineage: Eukaryota; Metazoa; Arthropoda; Arachnida; Araneae; Eresidae
Rfam family: tRNA
About the family: Transfer RNA (tRNA) molecules are approximately 80 nucleotides in length. Their secondary structure includes four short double-helical elements and three loops (D, anti-codon, and T loops).
Source: Rfam by way of RNAcentral
GCCUUCGUGGUGUAGUGGUCAGCACACUUGACAUGCACUCAAGAGGUCCGUGGUUCGAGUCCCGGUGAGAGCA